This 429-nucleotide ribosomal RNA is filed under the name Gemmatimonadota bacterium. RNAcentral describes it as "Gemmatimonadetes bacterium partial 16S ribosomal RNA". It matches the Rfam family "Bacterial small subunit ribosomal RNA", at positions 355 to 776 of the family's 1533-position model. Lineage: Bacteria; Pseudomonadati; Gemmatimonadota. The record is from RNAcentral.
UAGGGAAUCUUCGGCAAUGGACGAAAGUCUGACCGGGCAACGCCGCGUGAGUGAAGAAGGUUCUCGGAUCGUAAAACUCCGUUGUUAGAGAAGAACAAGGACGUUAGUAACUGAACGUCCCCUGACGGUAUCUAACCAGAAAGCCACGGCUAACUACGUGCCAGCAGCCGCGGUAAUACGUAGGUGGCAAGCGUUGUCCGGAUUUAUUGGGCGUAAAGCGAGCGCAGGCGGUUUCUUAAGUCUGAUGUGAAAGCCCCCGGCUCAACCGGGGAGGGUCAUUGGAAACUGGGAGACUUGAGUGCAGAAGAGGAGAGUGGAAUUCCAUGUGUAGCGGUGAAAUGCGUAGAUAUAUGGAGGAACACCAGUGGCGAAGGCGGCUCUCUGGUCUGUAACUGACGCUGAGGCUCGAAAGCGUGGGGAGCAAACAGG